This 1608-nucleotide long non-coding RNA is filed under the name Homo sapiens (human). Its description in RNAcentral is "HSALNT0381226". The record is from RNAcentral. Lineage: Eukaryota; Metazoa; Chordata; Mammalia; Primates; Hominidae.
GAGGGUAAGGGGUGGCUGUAGAAUAACUUGAAGACCUUCAGGACUCAAGCUAAGGGGACAUAAAGGGACACAGAAGGAACCACAAACACCUUCCAUUUUAAAUCUGCCCUGGCCAAGACAUCUGGCGAAGAGGAGGAGGAAAUCUCACUCUUUUCUCCCCUUUUGAAUCACUUGGCCCUUAUUCUCAGGACCCAGAAAUCACAUUAUAUCAAAGCAAAUAUAUUAUGGAUUAAAUAGGCGUUUGCAGGUCGUCUAGCCUGUCAACAGGCUUCUCCUAACCUGUCACGAACAUGGUUGUGUACAACCAGGAGUUAGGAGUUGUGAGGCUCAAACUAGGGAAAGGACAUCUUUAUGACUCCUAGGAGUCGAAGAGAGAGAACACAACAAUAUAAAAAGACAACCCUACAGGCAAUAUUACAAAUGCCACAGGAAGAUCACAGAACAAGAAAUAAAAUAAUACUAAAAGAGCUUAGAACACAAAGGGAGCUCGGGGCUGGGAGGUCUGAGAGUCUCAGAAUGUGGUGGCAGCAGGUGACAGUUGGAAUUUUACGGUUAGAAGAAAUGUGCACGGAAGAUACUGCAUACCACUAUCUACAUAGGAGGUUUUCUAUUGAUGAAGUCUCGUUCUAUCGCCCAGGCUGGAGUGCAGUGGCGUGAUCUCAGCUCACUGGAACCUCCACGUCCUGGCUUCCAGUGAUUCUCCUGCUUCAGCCUCCUGAGUAGCUGGGAUUACAGGCACCCGCCACGACGCCUGGCAAAUUUUUGUAUUUUUAGUAGAGACAGGGUUUCACCAUGUUGGCCAGGCUGGUCUUGAACUCCUGACCUGACUGAAGCAAACUGCCCGCCUCGGCCUCCCAAAGUGCUGGGAUUAGAGGUGUGAGCUACUGCGCCCAGCCAAAUCUAUUUUUUAAACAAUAGAACCCCUGAUUUAAUUGAUACCUGACAUGGAAGUCUAACACUCACAGCAGAUAAAGUGAAAUUGCUAUGCCUAGAAUGUGUGUGGGAGUGUGGGGGGACAAGAGCCCUUUCCACUCAGCUCUCUCCCUUUUCUCUGUGCCCUCCGCAAUCCCUGCAGCCCUGGAGGGCUUUGAAACACUUGAAGGAUCCACUGGACACAGACUGAAAACCACUAAUUUCUAAGUCCUAAUGGAAAACUACCGAGGGUUUGAGCAAGAGUGUUAUUUAAUCGAAGCACUAUUUUAGGAAGAUAAAUCUGACAAGAUGGAUUGUAGAGAAGCCAAGAAGCAGGGAGACCAAUUAAGAGAUUAUUGAAAAAAUUCAGGCCAAAUUAACAUAGGUUCUGGGGAAUGACUGAAGGUGGGGGUAAAAAGAGAGAGACACCUGGGAUGGCUUCAAGGUUUAAUGCUGCACGACUGCAACAUUAAUUAAUAGACUGAAGAUACCUGUAAGGUCUCCUGGAUCAUCCCUCUUUUAUGGGAGGCAAAACGUCUCCAAAAUGACCACAAGGUGCCUCUGUUCUUUAAGAGGGCAGUCAACUGUUUAACAUUUUUCCAAAAAUGUACAUUUUACCUCAGUUGAUAAAUUAUAUGUGCUCCUUAACAAGCUUGUUUAGAAAGUUGUUUGUUAUGGAACUGACUUACACAAACC